UGAGGAAUAUUGGUCAAUGGGCGCGAGCCUGAACCAGCCAAGUCGCGUGAAGGAAGAAGGCUCUAUGGGUCGUAAACUUCUUUUAACCGGGAAUAAAAGAGAUGACGAGUCAUCUAUUGCAUGUACCGGUAGAAUAAGCAUCGGCUAACUCCGUGCCAGCAGCCGCGGUAAUACGUAGGGGGCAAGCGUUAUCCGGAAUUACUGGGUGUAAAGGGUGAGUAGGCGGCAUAGUAAGUCAUAUGUGAAAGCCCGCAGCUUAACUGCGGAGUUGCAUAAGAAACUAUUGAGCUAGAGUGCAGGAGAGGAAAGUGGAAUUCCUAGUGUAGCGGUGAAAUGCGUAGAUAUUAGGAGGAACACCAGUGGCGAAGGCGGCUUUCUGGACUGUAACUGACGCUGAGGUGCGAAAGCCAGGGGAGCGAACG
This 422-nucleotide ribosomal RNA is filed under the name uncultured bacterium. RNAcentral's name for it is "bacterial SSU rRNA". It matches the Rfam family "Bacterial small subunit ribosomal RNA", at positions 355 to 774 of the family's 1533-position model. The record is from RNAcentral.